GGAGUAUAACCACUCUUUCUUUGUCCUGCGUCUGAAGCAAGAAAAAGCCCCCUCAGCAGCAGAAGCAGCAGCCCAAAGAAAUGCUUUAUUUUCAGAGGAAAUGGCGCAUUCGCGUGAAAAAAAUAAUAAACCACCAUUUUCCUGUGAGGCAACAAACGCUCCCCUCCCCCCGCCACCAUCAAAUCCUCCAUUGUCCCUUUCUUUUGACACUAGAGAUAGGAGGUGAGUAGGAAAGUUUUUGAGGAGGGGGAAAAUGGCGGGGGAAGAAGAGCGCAGUGGAGGAAGGAGGAGGAGCUGGAGGAGAAGGAAGGGGAAAGAAGGGCUGUUUGGACGGCUUCUUCUCCCAAAACGCCCUCGCGGCACAUUCCAGACGAGAGAGAGGGAGGGACGGACUGACUGACUGACUGACUGACUGCUGGGCUUGCAUUUAUGACACACACGCAAAGGGAAGGAAAGGAAAUUCAUCACAGCCUAUGAACAGUUCCAAAAAGUGGCAGUGGUCAAACUGGGAUCUAUUCAGGAAUUAUUUCACUCAUCUUUAGUUAUCUGAGGUUAUUGAUAAUCUGCUGUUCCAGAGAGUCAUCAAAAUAAUUCUCAAGGAUGCAGCUGGCUUUGGUUCCUCAUUCUCAUCUGUGAACAAAUUUAAUUGUUUUUCUUGUGGAAUGUGAGAAGCUUGACCCUGAACAAAUGUUUCUCUGCAAUCAGCUCAGGUGAAAAAGCCCUGUUACCCAGGGAACCAUGGUUAUUUAUUUAUGAGCAUGCAUGACACCAACAUUUUGAUGACCAUGAUGCAAGGAAGCAGGCAGAUAUCCUCAGGGUAAAACUGUCCAGGACUGCUGUGGGAAAUGAACACAGACUGGAAUAAUAUCAAUCAAACUAAUUGCCCAAUAAGGUGACCACUAUCAACAUUAUAUCUAUGUAAAGCAGGGCCAGAAGACUUGUACAAUAUGGGAUGUUUGCAAAACUUCUUGUGAGAGUCUAAUCUGAUGGUGUAGUGGCAAAGAGCUGUGGGAAGGAUAGAACAACAACUGAGUCUUUAUGUUCAAACUAGUACUUAAAUCCUAGUCAAAGGCAUCUUCAAGGACCACAAACAGGAAGUUGUCCUGGUUCAGCUAUGAACAGAAUGUGAGAGCCAUACACACCACAGUCUGUCAGUGAUAAGCCUCUAUUAGUGUAUAUACCGUGCUGUUCUGCGGUGGGAAGAUUCCUGGCUUGCAUGAAUUUACUUUGUUUUUUUCCACCACAAUGCUGAGAUCCACUAACCCUCGCCUGGUCCAAAAGACACAAACCUAGAAUUAAAUGACACUGAGCUCAGGAAUUUGUUUUGAGUACUAAAGAAGAACAGAGCUCACAGCCACUGGACACAAAAAUGUUAUGCUCCCCCCAUUCCCUCAUUUCAACAGUAUAGUUGGUUGAGUUGAAGAAGGCACACAGUCAUAUUUUUGCUGCUAUUGUUAGAGGUGGAAGUGAGAAAUCCUUGAUAGCUGCAAAGCAUCCAGAGAUCUCCCCUGGAUCCAGCUCAAUUUCCUGCCCACACUCCUUAAUAUAGUGUCCUAAACACAGAUUGCUUUUGGGGGUUCCAUUUUUCAGCUCCAAAUGUAUCUCUCUCCAGGGACACCUAAUUUGCAUCCUGUGAGCUGAGCUUUGUUUCUGGGUAAAGGCAUGACUACGCCUGCAUUCUUGAUGUUUUUAAAACAAUCAGUUCACUGUCCUCUUUUUUAAAGCUUGGAAAUUACUGGGACUUGAUUGCUGACAUUAGUUUUUUUUUCUUGCAUGAUUUGAAUAGAAACAUAAAGGCAGCCUUCUGCAACAAAGUCUAAAAAGAAUGUGGUGCAAUAUGGUGCUGCUGUUGUAUGAUACAAUCCAAUCUACUUUCACUUUGUUGUAAAACUACUAAAAUUAAACAUGUGGAAAAAGGAAGGAAUCAUCAGGCACUCCCCUUAUCCCUGCUUCUAAACUCUGAGAAUAUUCCUUUUGACAUAUGUACAGCAGCAAGGACUCUUGUAGUAAUAUAUGUAGUGUGCCAAAAACCCACCAUCUUUGUUCAUACCUCUACUAAUAGGUUGGAAUUUGUGAAUAUAAUUUAGUUCAGCUGUUGUUCUAGACUAGCUUUGUAAUUUUCUUUUUUGAGGAUCACAACAUAUAGAUCCCUUGCCAUAUGUUAAAAAAUGUUGAAAUCCUCUGUGGUGUAUUUUUGGAAUUACUAUUACUAAUGUCAGAUUUGUGAUCAUUAAUUAUUUUCUAUAGAAACUCUUUUGUCUUUCCAAUCUACAACAUAGAGGGGCUUUUCAGAGGGGCUUCCUACAAUAGAUCAAAAAUAAGUAUUUACCCUCUAGCAAUCAUCAGUAGACAACAGCAUAGAGGAUUAUGUGUACACAAAUAAACAGCAUAAAAAGGGAUGCUAAAUUGCUCAGUACACAAUCACAUGGAUGCUCCGAAGUGUGUAUUAAGUAGAGGGACAGCAAGAAACUGAUGAAAGCCAAAGAUGUAGGAAGAGCAAGUACAGUAAAUUAUCUCUGCUGUUGUGGGUAGUAUUAUUGGUCCCUGUAAUACUGCUCGCAGAGUAGAUGGGGGGGACAGAGCUGGCAUAUGAAUAUGUGGCAGAGUCUUGUUCCUAUGGAGGCCGGUGGCAAAGUGCGUUAAAGCGCUGAGCUGCUGAACUUGCAGACCGAAAGAUCCCAGGUUCAAACUCCGUGAGCAGCCACUGUUAGCUCCAGCUCCUGCCAACCUAGCAGUUCAAAAACAUGCCAAUGUGAGUAGAUCAAUAGGUACCGCUCUGGUGGGAAGGUAACGGCGCUCCAUGCAGUCAUGCCGGCCACAUGACCUUGGAGGUAUGUACGGACAACGCCGGCUCUUCGGCUUAGAAAUGGAGAUAAGCAUCAACCCCCAGAGUCAGACAUGACUGGACUUAAUGUCAGGGGAAACUUUUGCCUUUACUUUGUUCCUAUAUCUAGACCUGCACUAUCUGUGGCCCUCUAGAUAUUUGGGACUCCAGCUCCCAGAAAUCCUAGCCAGCUUGUUCAAUGAUCAGGAAUUCUGGGAGGUGAAAUCCAAAACACCUGGAGAGCCACAGGUUGUGCAGGUCUCCUAUAUACCACCCAUGGUAUAUGUAUAGCUGUUGUCGAAAAUCCAUGCCCCUACCCUCAAAAUAAAAAGUCCCAAGGAUGGGAUCUGUGGUUAUCCAAAGGACAUGGGUAGACAACUCGGUGGUGGCGCUCCUCUGUCCUCAUAACACUCACACACCAGCAGCAGCACCCAAAUGCCCAUCUUGCCACACACUUAUCAGGGCUCCAGUCAUCAGAUUUAACAAAGGAUACAAUGUGGAUACACCAUUAUGGCUCCUGCUUCCUUGUAGCAGCUACAUUCCCUGUCUGUCUCUUUGUUUCCAUUUCUUUCUUGGCAAACGGACACGGAUCUGUCAGAAAUCAAGGAACCAACUCCAUAACUCUCUGCCUCUAUAAAAGCAGCCAUCUCCCUCCUUUCCAACUCCUCACUGCUCCCCGCUCUCGUGAUUAUAUUUAUAUUUUAUCUUUAUUUUUAUUUGCACAGAUCUUUCUGAAGGUAAGCCAGAGGGACUUCAGUUUGACUCUUUCAACCCCCCAAGGUUGGAACAACAUUCCAAGAACACCUUGAUCUAUGGGAAAAUUGCUGGCCCUAUACAUGUAAAUACCAACAGUGGCGAUUUCCCCACAGACAUCAGGUGUGACCUGUCUCACAAAAGGGACAUGAUUGCUGAAUUAACAUCUGGAGCCCCCCCCUUUUUUUUUUUUUUUUUUUUGCUGUCUAGGAACAGGGACUGGACAAUCAAAAUUCAUUGUGCCAGAUUCUUGGGACUUGGGCAACCUCACUUAAUCCCUUGUCACAUCAAUUGUUUUAGAAAUUCCAUUCCAAGCACCCAAAAAGGUGCAGCCAUCAAGGAUCCUCUCCACCACCAGAGAUGCCUCCACUUGCUGUUUGGCCUCCUCAGGCCACUGGAAACCAACCAACUUGGAAUCCCUCGCCCCAACGCAAGAGCCCCUGCCAAUCAACAUGCAUUCAGAGCAAGCCCCUCAGCCAAUAGACACUGGUUGGCUUUUAGGCCCUGGACCAAUUGGGAGUGAGGGAGGGAAGAUUGAAUGGGGCAAUGCAAGUGAAUGUACUGUAUUAAAAGGCCUGUUUUUGACCCUGUGUUUAUACUUGUACCCUUUAGCAUCUUAUUGCUGUACAUAGUAUUAAAAACUCCAAGAUUAUGGCAA
Molecule: long non-coding RNA, 4235 nt
Organism: Anolis carolinensis (green anole)
Lineage: Eukaryota; Metazoa; Chordata; Lepidosauria; Squamata; Anolidae
Exons: 2
Source: RefSeq, a predicted model, not a curated record